This 131-nucleotide small RNA is filed under the name Klebsiella pneumoniae. RNAcentral's name for it is "RtT sRNA". It matches the Rfam family "RtT RNA". From Rfam's summary of the family: This family represents a bacterial cis-regulatory element known as RtT RNA. The exact function of RtT is unknown although it is thought that it may be involved in changing the cellular response in relation to amino acid starvation. The record is from RNAcentral. RNAcentral also lists the same sequence under 1 other name. Lineage: Bacteria; Pseudomonadati; Pseudomonadota; Gammaproteobacteria; Enterobacterales; Enterobacteriaceae.
UAUUCUGCCCCACGGGGAAGGAUGAGAAGCUUCGACUAAGGUUCGACUCGAGCGAAGCGAGAGAACGUUGCCGCAGGCAACGGCCCGAAGGGCGAGGAGCGAUAGCGACGAGUUAUCCUUCCCCACCACCA